GAUGAAGAACGUAGCGAAAUGCGAUAAGUAAUGUGAAUUGCAGAAUUCAGUGAAUCAUCGAAUCUUUGAACGCACAUUGCGCCCGUUAGCAUUCUAGCGGGCAUGCCUGUCCGAGCGUCAUUUCAACCCUCAGGGUCCCCGUUCCGGCGGGGAACCUGGUGUUGGGGAUCGGCCCGCCCCGUGCGGCGCCGUCCCCCAAAUUCAGUGGCGGUCUCGCUGCAGCCUCCCCUGCGUAGUAGUUACAACCUCGCAUCGGAGCUCAGCGCGGCCACGCCGUAAAACCCCCGACUUCUGAACGUUUGACCUCGGAUCAGGUAGGAAUACCCGCUGAACUUAAGCAUAUCAAUAAGCGGAGGA
Molecule: unclassified non-coding RNA, 357 nt
Filed under: soil metagenome
Description: partial contains 5.8S ribosomal RNA, internal transcribed spacer 2, and large subunit ribosomal RNA
Rfam family: 5.8S ribosomal RNA (bases 1-120)
Source: RNAcentral